AUUGAACGCUGGCGGCACGCCUAACACAUGCAAGUCGAACGAGUGGUGGACGGGUGAGUAAUGUCUGGGAAACUGCCUGGUAGUGGGGGAUAACGUCCGGAAACGGGCGCUAAUACCGCAUACUAUCAGAUGAGCCUAGGUCGGAUUAGCUAGUUGGUGGGGUAAAGGCCUACCAAGGCGACGAUCCGUAACUGGUCUGAGAGGAUGAUCAGUCACACUGGAACUGAGACACGGUCCAGACUCCUACGGGAGGCAGCAGUGGGGAAUAUUGCACAAUGGGCGCAAGCCUGAUGCAGCCAUGCCGCGUGUGUGAAGAAGGCCUUCGGGUUGUAAAGCACUUUCAGCGGGGAGGCGUUACCCGCAGAAGAAGCACCGGCUAACUCCGUGCCAGCAGCCGCGGUAAUUC
RNAcentral lists this ribosomal RNA (406 nucleotides) under uncultured bacterium. RNAcentral's name for it is "partial 16S ribosomal RNA". It matches the Rfam family "Bacterial small subunit ribosomal RNA", at positions 30 to 526 of the family's 1533-position model. The record is from RNAcentral.